ACUCCUACGGGAGGCAGCAGUGGGGAAUCUUGCGCAAUGGGCGAAAGCCUGACGCAGCCAUGCCGCGUGAAUGAUGAAGGUCUUAGGAUUGUAAAAUUCUUUCACCGGGGACGAUAAUGACGGUACCCGGAGAAGAAGCCCCGGCUAACUUCGUGCCAGCAGCCGCGGUAAUACGAAGGGGCUAGCGUUGCUCGGAAUUACUGGGCGUAAAGGGAGCGUAGGCGGACUGUUUAGUCAGAGGUGAAAGCCCAGGGCUCAACCUUGGAAUUGCCUUUGAUACUGGCAGUCUUGAGUACGGAAGAGGUAUGUGGAACUCCGAGUGUAGAGGUGAAAUUCGUAGAUAUUCGGAAGAACACCAGUGGCGAAGGCGACAUACUGGUCCGUUACUGACGCUGAGGCUCGAAAGCGUGGGAGCAAACAGGAUUAGAUACCCUGGUAGGAUAGCG
Molecule: ribosomal RNA, 446 nt
Filed under: uncultured bacterium
Lineage: Bacteria
Description: bacterial SSU rRNA
Rfam family: Bacterial small subunit ribosomal RNA
Source: RNAcentral